This 378-nucleotide ribosomal RNA is filed under the name uncultured bacterium. RNAcentral's name for it is "bacterial SSU rRNA". It matches the Rfam family "Bacterial small subunit ribosomal RNA", at positions 28 to 407 of the family's 1533-position model. The record is from RNAcentral.
GACGAACGCUGGCGGCGUGCUUAACACAUGCAAGUCGAGCGGUAAGGCCCUUUCGGGGGUACACGAGCGGCGAACGGGUGAGUAACACGUGGGUGACCUGCCCUUAGCUCUGGGAUAAGCCUGGGAAACUGGGUCUAAUACCGGAUAUGACUCCAUAACGCAUGUUGUGGGGUGGAAAGCCUUGUGCGGCUAGGGAUGGGCCCGCGGCCUAUCAGCUUGUUGGUGGGGUGAUGGCCACCAAGGCGACGACGGGUAGCCGGCCUGAGAGGGCGACCGGCCACACUGGGACUGGGACACGGCCCAGACUCCUACGGGAGGGCAGCAGUGGGGAAUCUUGCGCAAUGGGCGAAAGCCUGACGCAGCGACGCCGCGUGGGGA